Molecule: long non-coding RNA, 436 nt
Organism: Drosophila gunungcola (fruit fly)
Lineage: Eukaryota; Metazoa; Arthropoda; Insecta; Diptera; Drosophilidae
Exons: 4
Source: RefSeq, a predicted model, not a curated record
UAGAAUGGCUCAUAAAUAGAUGCAAUCGAUUUAUUGGUUAGAGGUUCAAUGGGAGAUUUCGCUUCCAAAGCCAGCACAGCUCUUAUCUAUUCCGGAUGCUUUUACACAACCUUCAAAGUGCCCACAAUAGCUAUAUUUAAGAUGUUUAACUGGAUGUGUAUACACUAUCUUUUUGCAAGUAAUGAGUAAAAGUUUGGUUUUUAGCUGACUUUAUAUAUUUGUUUACGCCCACAAUUACAAACAAAUUAAAAGAAGAAGACGGCAAUGUAUGUUUAAAAUCUGUGCACACCCAUAAAGAAAAAGAAGAAGACAACCGAGCACAAUGCAUACAUAUGUGAACCGAUGAUAGCCGGCCUUUGUUCAGAUUGAUAAAGGAUGGCAACAACAGGAAGUCACAAGACAAAAAACCACUGUUGUUUUGUCUUCGCCACCUCAG